Molecule: transfer RNA, 80 nt
Filed under: Ixodes scapularis (black-legged tick)
Lineage: Eukaryota; Metazoa; Arthropoda; Arachnida; Ixodida; Ixodidae
Rfam family: tRNA
About the family: Transfer RNA (tRNA) molecules are approximately 80 nucleotides in length. Their secondary structure includes four short double-helical elements and three loops (D, anti-codon, and T loops).
Source: Rfam by way of RNAcentral
GCAGUCGUGGCCGAGUGGUUGAGGCAAUGGACUAGAAAUCCAUAGAAAUCCCCGCAUAGGUUCGAAUCUUGUCGACUGUG